CCACCUCUUCCCAUUCCGAACAGAGAAGUUAAGCCUUGUCACGCCGAUGGUACUGCGUAGAAGUGGGAGAGUAGGUAGUCGCCGUUU
RNAcentral lists this ribosomal RNA (87 nucleotides) under Prevotellaceae bacterium. The record is from RNAcentral. Lineage: Bacteria; Pseudomonadati; Bacteroidota; Bacteroidia; Bacteroidales; Prevotellaceae.